AACGAACGCUGGCGGCAGGCUUAACACAUGCAAGUCGAACGGGUGUAGCAAUACAUCAGUGGCAGACGGGUGAGUAACACGUGGGAACCUGCCUAGGGGUACGGAACAACUCAGGGAAACUUGAGCUAAUACCGUAUACGUCCGUGAGGAGAAAGAUUUAUCGCCCUUAGACGGGCCCGCGUCGGAUUAGCUAGUUGGUGGGGUAACGGCCUACCAAGGCGACGAUCCGUAGCUGAUCUUAGAGGAUGAUCAGCCACACUGGGACUGAGACACGGCCCAGACUCCUACGGGAGGCAGCAGUGGGGAAUCUUGGACAAUGGGCGCAAGCCUGAUCCAGCCAUGCCGCGUGAGUGAAGAAGGUCUUCGGAUUGUAAAGCUCUUUUGCCAGGGACGAUAAUGACGGUACCUGGAGAAUAAGCCCCGGCAAACUUCGUGCCAGCCGCCGCGGUAA
This 451-nucleotide ribosomal RNA is filed under the name uncultured bacterium. RNAcentral's name for it is "partial 16S ribosomal RNA". It matches the Rfam family "Bacterial small subunit ribosomal RNA", at positions 29 to 523 of the family's 1533-position model. The record is from RNAcentral.